RNAcentral lists this ribosomal RNA (243 nucleotides) under uncultured bacterium. RNAcentral describes it as "partial 16S ribosomal RNA". It matches the Rfam family "Bacterial small subunit ribosomal RNA", at positions 527 to 769 of the family's 1533-position model. The record is from RNAcentral.
GGAAGGUCCGGGCGUUAUCCGGAUUUAUUGGGUUUAAAGGGAGCGUAGGCCGGAGAUUAAGCGUGUUGUGAAAUGUAGACGCUCAACGUCUGCACUGCAGCGCGAACUGGUUUCCUUGAGUACGCACAAAGCGGGUGGAAUUCGUGGUGUAGCGGUGAAAUGCUUAGAUAUCACGAAGAACUCCGAUGGCGAAGGCAGCGCACUGGAGCGAAACUGACGCUGAAGCGCGAAAGUGCGGGUAGC